CAGUUCGCAGUUUAACGCAGAAAGCGGAUAUGCAAGCAACCUUAAAGUUGUUCGGGGUUCUGUGAACCAUAGGUACCUUCAAAGAGCUGGCGAGAUGGCCAAAGAAGAAGCCACUUCUCUACAUGGUCUGCACUUACAGUAGAUACAUUCAUUAUUGUCCAAGGGAAGACAGCCACUGCCUUUCACUUAAAGAGCUUGGUGGAGAGGCUGAAGGGAUACGCUGCAGCCGAAGGUUCUAGAAAGCUACCUUGAACCAGGAAGGCAGCCCAGGAGAGAAGACGUCCACCGGCUGUUUCUGGAUUUACUAUCUAUUCAUCUUAUGUCACCUCCUGUCACACUGUGCUUCCUCUAGCAGCACCAGAUCUCGCAGUGAUCAGUGUAAGAGCCAGGAGAUUGCGGUUGUCUGCAC
This 409-nucleotide long non-coding RNA is filed under the name Rattus norvegicus (Norway rat). RNAcentral describes it as "long non-coding RNA NONRATT011017". The record is from RNAcentral. Lineage: Eukaryota; Metazoa; Chordata; Mammalia; Rodentia; Muridae.